RNAcentral lists this long non-coding RNA (583 nucleotides) under Homo sapiens (human). RNAcentral describes it as "non-protein coding lnc-CLIC5-1:3". Lineage: Eukaryota; Metazoa; Chordata; Mammalia; Primates; Hominidae. The record is from RNAcentral.
AUCGGACCUAAGAGUAGAGGUUGAUUCCACUCUCCCACCACGCACUUUUCGUAUCAUCCUAGAUCUGGAUGCCCUUCAUGGAACCUAAAAACCAGCGAGUCCCGGAAAGGCCUCAGGCAAUUGCCAAGCCGAUGGCCUUCUGCCACUUAGUUAAUGUGCACCUGGCAGCUUAGGUGGCCGCGGAGAAAGCAACUUUGGCUGCACCAAGGUCCGGCACAAGUCUGGAGAAGCUUCAGCCAGUUCCAGUGAGUUGGGAUAAAUGAAACGUGGAUCUACCAUAGACGUCUGUCCGUCUUACUGGAUAAGCGAGCACCUUUACCGGGGAAGUUAGAUGGCUGGAGUCAGCUGGCAAAUACAGAAGCAGGAAACAUUACACUGAAGCUCAGAAAAUAAUAUCCCCAAAUGAAGGCAUCAGAAAUAAAAGUUCUUCUCUGACCUUCUUUCUCUCAAGACAUUGUAUUAUGAAAAAUUUCCAGCAUACAGAAAAGUUGAAGAACACCCACAUGCCUGCUACUCAGAUUCUACAAUAAACAUUUGCUAUAUUUGUUUUACCUACAUAUCUAGUCAUCCAUCCAUCCAUUCA